RNAcentral lists this ribosomal RNA (1175 nucleotides) under Leucon nasicoides. RNAcentral's name for it is "SSU rRNA". It matches the Rfam family "Eukaryotic small subunit ribosomal RNA", at positions 95 to 1161 of the family's 1831-position model. The record is from RNAcentral. Lineage: Eukaryota; Metazoa; Arthropoda; Malacostraca; Cumacea; Leuconidae.
GGCUCAUUAAAUCAGUCGUAAUCCACGGGAGUUUGACCCAGUCUUACUUGGAUAACCGUGGUAAUUCUAGGGCUAAUACACGCAACUGAGCUCCGACCCUGCUUCGGUGGGGGUAAGGGCGCCUUUAUUAGUAUGCAAAUCGAUCCAUUCCUCUUUUGGUUGGAUGGUUGUGAUGACCCUGGAUAACCUAGCCGAGCGCUCAGGUCCUUGUGACCCGCGCCGCAUCCUUCGAGCGACUGCCUUAUCAGCUAUAUCGUAGGGUAUUGGCCUACGAUGGCUGUGACGGGUAACGGGGAAUCAGGGUUCGAUUCCGGAGAGGGAGCCCGAGAAACGGCUACCACAUCUAAGGAAGGCAGCAGGCACGCAAAUUACCCACUCCCAGUUCGGGGAGGUAGUGACGAAAAAUACUGAUGCGGGACUCGUUCCGAGGCCUCGCCAUCAGAUUGAGCUCAGUCUAAACCAUUGGACAAGUUUCAACUGGAGGGCAAGUCUGGUGCCAGCAGCCGCGGUAAUUCCAGCUCCAGUAGCGUAUGCUAAAGUUGCUGCGGUUAAAAAGCUCAUAGUUGGAUCUCACGGCCGGAACGGCGGCCCACUAAAGGUUUCGGCCAGCGCCGUGGUUGGUCAGUGUACUUGUAUGCUCGGCCUCUGCGGUUUGCUUGCGUCUGCCCGGUGGUCAACUGUCCGUCUCCGGCUCGAGACUCCCGCUGGUUCGCGAGGGAUGCCUUGUCCUGUACGGGUGUCCCGAGUGACCGGCACGUUCACUUUGAAUAAAUUAGAGUGCUCAAAGCAGGCAAAGUCUUACGCCUGAAUGAUGGUGCAUGGAAUGAUGGAACAGGACCUCGGUUCUGCUCUUUGGUCGAUUUUUUGGAAUCGAGGUAAUGAUUAAAAGAAACAGACGGGGGCAUUCGUAUUGCGACGCUAGAGGUGAAAUUCUUGGACCGUCGCAAGACGAACUACUGCGAAAGCAUUUGCCAAGAAUGUUUUCCUUAAUCAAGAACGAAAGUUAGAGGAUCGAAGGCGAUCAGAUACCGCCCUAGUUCUAACCAUAAACGAUGCUACCUGGCGAUCCGUCGGCGUCAUACCCACGACUCGACGGGGAGCCUCCGGGAAACCAAAGGCUUUGGGUUCCGGGGGAAGUAUGGUUGCAAAGCUGAAACUUAAAGGAAUUGACGGAA